This is a long non-coding RNA of Sarcophilus harrisii (Tasmanian devil), 781 nucleotides long. RefSeq lists it as uncharacterized. The transcript has 3 exons. The record is from RefSeq and is a predicted model, not a curated record. NCBI's taxonomy places the organism in Eukaryota, Metazoa, Chordata, Mammalia, Dasyuromorphia, Dasyuridae.
CGUGUGUCUGUGUGUGUGUGUCUGCGUGUGUGUGUCUGUGUGUGUGUGUCUGUGUUUGGCUACUAUAGCCCACUUGAAGAAUGUAGAAUUUGAAAUCCACCAAAAAAACAAAUAAUAAAACCCCCAACUCAGAACCCCCUGCCUGCCCUCUCUCAUCUUCCCCGAAACGCUUUAUUGCCCAUCUAGGACUUCCCAUAUUUUCAUUUGUGAAAUUAAUUCAAAUGCAGAAUUUGGCAUUAAUCUGUUAAAAUCCCUCAUAUUCAGACCUACUCAUUCUCCCUCAUUGAAUUUUUUUCAUCCAAAUAAUUCUAAAUCUCCCCAAGCUACCGCUCACCCUCCAUCCCUCCCUUUGCGUGCCUGUGACCGUCAUUCUCUGAGUUCUUUCUGGGUUCACGGUCCCUUUUUCCAACUCCAUAGUUAUCUGGGUGGCAGCUAGAUGGCACAUGGACGGAGCACUGAGAAUGGAAGACCUGGGUUCAAAUGUAGCCUUGGACACUCGCUGUGUGACCCAGAGCAAGCCGUUUAGCUUCUGUCCGCUUCCGUUUUCUCAGUUCUAAAAUGUGGAUGAUCAUCCCUACCUCCCAAGGUUGUUGUGAAGAUCAGGUGACAGAUCUGUGAAGUGCUUCUCCUGAUUCUUGGCCGGGUUACAACUUUUCCCACGAGGACUGCAUUAGCUGCAUCCCAGAAAUUUUGAGACUGGGGAAGGAUACAUUGCCUACUAAGGUGCCAUACUUCUGUGCUUCCUUUAUGUGGAACAUGUCAUCAUUAAAGAAGAUAUGGG